AACGAACGCUGGCGGCAGGCUUAACACAUGCAAGUCGAACGCACCGCAAGGUGAGUGGCAGACGGGUGAGUAACACGUGGGAACGUACCCUUUGGUUCGGGAUAACCCAGGGAAACUUGGGCUAAUACCGGAUACGUCCGUGAGGAGAAAGGUUCACUGCCGAAGGAUCGGCCCGCGUCUGAUUAGCUAGUUGGUGAGGUAACGGCUCACCAAGGCGACGAUCAGUAGCUGGUCUGAGAGGAUGAUCAGCCACAUUGGGACUGAGACACGGCCCAAACUCCUACGGGAGGCAGCAGUGGGGAAUAUUGGACAAUGGGCGCAAGCCUGAUCCAGCCAUGCCGCGUGAGUGAUGACGGCCUUAGGGUUGUAAAGCUCUUUUACCUGGGAAGAUAAUGACGGUACCAGGAGAAUAAGCCCCGGCUAACUUCGUGCCAGCAGCCGCCGUAAUAC
Molecule: ribosomal RNA, 450 nt
Filed under: uncultured bacterium
Lineage: Bacteria
Description: bacterial SSU rRNA
Rfam family: Bacterial small subunit ribosomal RNA
Source: RNAcentral